GUUUUGCUUUGUUUGGGCUUACUUCACUUCCGUUUGCAUUUUUUGGGUGAAUAUGCAUGAACAUCCAAAAAACACGAAACGAAGUGAAAUAAGACCAAACAAAGCUUAU
Molecule: non-coding RNA, 109 nt
Organism: Podarcis lilfordi (Lilford's wall lizard)
Lineage: Eukaryota; Metazoa; Chordata; Lepidosauria; Squamata; Lacertidae
Source: the annotation of a GenBank genome assembly